GAUCUAAUAAUUUAAAAGAUUUAAGAAUCAGUUUAGAGAAGAGAUGAUAAAAGAUCAACUAGUAAACUAUAAUCCUCCCACUGACUUCAUUAAGUCAUUGAAUUGGAUCAGGAUCAUACUAGUUGAAAUGGCACCUAGAUCAGUCACACUGAUCAACCCUAAUGGCAUGGGUCAACUAGAAUUACUUAGCGAUCUAAUCAAGACAUAAUUCAUCAAAUUGGCC
Molecule: long non-coding RNA, 223 nt
Filed under: Elaeis guineensis (African oil palm)
Lineage: Eukaryota; Viridiplantae; Streptophyta; Magnoliopsida; Arecales; Arecaceae
Description: long non-coding RNA (EGUI_LNC068787)
Source: RNAcentral